ACUGUUGGGCUUGAAUUAUUGGAAGUAACUAGAAUAUGUAGUGUAGCGGUGAAAUGCUUAGAGAUUACAUGGAAUACCAAUUGCGAAGGCAGGUUACUACAAAUUGAUUGACGCUGAUGGACGAAAGCGUGGGUAGCGAACAGGAUUAGAUACCCUGGUAGUCCACGCCGUAAACGAUGGAUACUAGCUGUUGGGAGCAAUCUCAGUGGCUAAGCGAAAGUGAUAAGUAUCCCACCUGGGGAGUACGUUCGCAAGAAUGAAACUCAAAGGAAUUGACGGGGGCCCGCACAAGCGGUGGAGCAUGUGGUUUAAUUCGAUGAUACGCGAGGAACCUUACCAAGGCUUAAAUGUAGAUUGACCGGUUUGGAAACAGACUUUUCGCAAGACAAUUUACAAGGUGCUGCAUGGUUGUCGUCAGCUCGUGCCGUGAGGUGUCAGGUUAAGUCCUAUAACGAGCGCAACCCCUGUUGUUAGUUGCCAGCGAGUCAUGUCGGGAACUCUAGCAAGACUGCCAGUGUAAACUGUGAGGAAGGUGGGGAUGACGUCAAAUCAUCACGGCCCUUACGCCUUGGGCUACACACGUGCUACAAUGGCCGGUACAGAGAGCAGCCACUACGCAAGUAGGAGCGAAUCUACAAAACCGGUCUCAGUUCGGAUCGGAGUCUGCAACUCGACUCC
Molecule: ribosomal RNA, 678 nt
Filed under: Flavobacterium psychrophilum
Lineage: Bacteria; Pseudomonadati; Bacteroidota; Flavobacteriia; Flavobacteriales; Flavobacteriaceae
Description: bacterial SSU rRNA
Rfam family: Bacterial small subunit ribosomal RNA
Source: RNAcentral